This 1046-nucleotide ribosomal RNA is filed under the name Vietnamophryne cuongi. RNAcentral describes it as "Vietnamophryne sp. c VCH-2021 partial large subunit ribosomal RNA". It matches the Rfam family "Bacterial large subunit ribosomal RNA", at positions 759 to 2510 of the family's 2925-position model. The record is from RNAcentral. Lineage: Eukaryota; Metazoa; Chordata; Amphibia; Anura; Microhylidae.
ACAGCUCAUCGAGCCAACCCGUCUCUGUUACAAAAGAGUGGGAAGAUUUUCAAGUAGAGGUGAUAAACCUACCGAGCCUAGAGAUAGCUGGUUACUCAGAAAAAGGAUAUUAGUCCCACCUUAAAUCUCUUUUUACCAUAUAAUACACCAACAGAUUUAAGAGCUAUUCAAAUAAGGUACAGCUUAUUUGAAACAGGAUACAACCUACCACACAGGGUAAUGAGAAUUAAUAUGAUUAAGUAGGCCUAAAAGCAGCCAUCUUUAAUAAAGCGUUAAAGCUACAUCACACUAAACACCAAUCCCAAUCAACACUCAAAACCCUUCAUUAGUACUGAGUGACUCCAUAACUCUAUGGAAAACCUUCUGUUAGAACUAGUAACAAGAAAUAGACUUCUCCAACAAUGUAAGUGUAACCCAAAAUGAACCCAUCAUUGGCACUCACCGUUCAUGAAUUUAUAGUAUUAACACAACAUGAAAACCCUACUAACCAAAACGUUAACCUUACACCAGAACCUUUCAGGAAAGAUUAAAAAACAUGGAAGGAACUCGGCAAAUAACAACCCCGCCUGUUUACCAAAAACAUCGCCUCCUGUUACCCAUAGAAGGUCCAGCCUGCCCAGUGAACUAAUUAAACGGCCGCGGUACCCUAACCGUGCAAAGGUAGCACAAUCACUUGUUCUUUAAAUAAGGACUAGUAUGAACGGCAUCACGAGGGUUAUACUGUCUCCCCUGUUCAAUCAGUGAAACUAAUCUCCCCGUGAAGAAGCGGGGAUACUUUUAUAAGACGAGAAGACCCCAUGGAGCUUUAAACCCAGUAUCACUUGCAUCCAUUAUAUCAUAUUAAUAAGCAAACCUGACUACUAGUUUUUGGUUGGGGUGACCGCGGAGCAAAAUAAAACCUCCAUGACGAAUAGAACUACUUCUAAUCAAAGAGCUACAACUCGCAGAAUCAACAUAUUGACUAAAAUUGACCCAAUAAUUUUGAACAACGAACCAAGUUACCCUGGGGAUAACAGCGCAAUCCAUUUCAAGAGCCCCUAUCGACA